Molecule: ribosomal RNA, 1442 nt
Filed under: uncultured organism
Description: SSU rRNA
Rfam family: Bacterial small subunit ribosomal RNA
Source: RNAcentral
GAACGCUAGCUACAGGCUUAACACAUGCAAGUCGUGGGGCAUCAGGAAGAAAGCUUGCUUUCUUUGCUGGCGACCGGCGCACGGGUGAGUAACACGUAUCCAACCUGCCCUUUACUCGGGGAUAGCCUUUCGAAAGAAAGAUUAAUACCCGAUAGCAUAAUGAUUCCGCAUGGUUUCAUUAUUAAAGGAUUCCGGUAAAGGAUGGGGAUGCGUUCCAUUAGGUUGUUGGUGAGGUAACGGCCCACCAAGCCUUCGAUGGAUAGGGGUUCUGAGAGGAAGGUCCCCCACAUUGGAACUGAGACACGGUCCAAACUCCUACGGGAGGCAGCAGUGAGGAAUAUUGGUCAAUGGGCGCUAGCCUGAACCAGCCAAGUAGCGUGAAGGAUGAAGGCUCUAUGGGUCGUAAACUUCUUUUAUAUAAGAAUAAAGUGCAGUAUGUAUACUGUUUUGUAUGUAUUAUAUGAAUAAGGAUCGGCUAACUCCGUGCCAGCAGCCGCGGUAAUACGGAGGAUCCGAGCGUUAUCCGGAUUUAUUGGGUUUAAAGGGAGCGUAGGUGGACUGGUAAGUCAGUUGUGAAAGUUUGCGGCUCAACCGUAAAAUUGCAGUUGAUACUGUCAGUCUUGAGUACAGUAGAGGUGGGCGGAAUUCGUGGUGUAGCGGUGAAAUGCUUAGAUAUCACGAAGAACUCCGAUUGCGAAGGCAGCUCACUGGACUGCAACUGACACUGAUGCUCGAAAGUGUGGGUAUCAAACAGGAUUAGAUACCCUGGUAGUCCACACAGUAAACGAUGAAUACUCGCUGUUUGCGAUAUACAGUAAGCGGCCAAGCGAAAGCAUUAAGUAUUCCACCUGGGGAGUACGCCGGCAACGGUGAAACUCAAAGGAAUUGACGGGGGCCCGCACAAGCGGAGGAACAUGUGGUUUAAUUCGAUGAUACGCGAGGAACCUUACCCGGGCUUAAAUUGCAGUGGAAUGAUGUGGAAACAUGUCAGUGAGCAAUCACCGCUGUGAAGGUGCUGCAUGGUUGUCGUCAGCUCGUGCCGUGAGGUGUCGGCUUAAGUGCCAUAACGAGCGCAACCCUUAUCUUUAGUUACUAACAGGUUAUGCUGAGGACUCUAGGGAGACUGCCGUCGUAAGAUGUGAGGAAGGUGGGGAUGACGUCAAAUCAGCACGGCCCUUACGUCCGGGGCUACACACGUGUUACAAUGGGGGGUACAGAAGGCAGCUAGCGGGUGACCGUAUGCUAAUCCCAAAAUCCUCUCUCAGUUCGGAUCGAAGUCUGCAACCCGACUUCGUGAAGCUGGAUUCGCUAGUAAUCGCGCAUCAGCCACGGCGCGGUGAAUACGUUCCCGGGCCUUGUACACACCGCCCGUCAAGCCAUGGGAGCCGGGGGUACCUGAAGUACGUAACCGCAAGGAUCGUCCUAGGGUAAAACUGGUGACA